UAAUUAGUUCAUAAGUAAUGUGUGUACAGGUGUUAAUAAAUAGAUAGAUCUGUUCAAUACUUCUUUGUCUAUAUGGUUGUAAACAUUGUUGUUUUUUGUUCAACAGGGGGGCCUUCUGACAUGCUCAUUCCUGUUGCUGCUGGAUUGGCUGGCCCUGUUGUUCUUGCCGUCUACUUCGCCGCUGCCACUGGAUUCAAUUUUUACAAAAAGAAGAAAGCCAAACUCCCUCCACAAUCUCCUCACAACAUCUCUAUGGACUCUAUGUAAAUGCAUAAACUUCUGAUUUACAAACACAUCCUGCACACAGUGAGUUACUUCAAAUAAGACGGUAAGCAGUAAAUGCUGUGACGUGAACUAAUCACAUCUCCAGUUAAACAACAUCUGAAAUGAUAAGCUUCUACAACAAACCUUUAUAUUAAAGACCCUAAAAAACUUGCUUUAGAAAUCUUGAGUAUAAAUAUAACAUGAAAUAGUCAUGAAGCACAAAGCAAAAAAGAUUUUUUUUUUUAAAUUUCUUUAUUAGGAGUUGACAAAAUGAUAUGUUUGUGUGUGUGAUUAAUAUCCGUUCUGUAUUAUAGGUUUAUAUACUCAAACAUUCAGUUCAUAUACUCACUAUAUAACUAUAUAACUCUAUUUGUACUCUAUCUAGAUAUGCAUAUAGUUUGGGUCUUAUAGAUAAACUACUGUAACAUGUAUGGAACCAUCCCAAUGAAGUAGAGGUAAAUAAAAUGUCCUCUCUGGUGUUUGACAACUUGACAGCAACAUCCUGAUUAUUUAGCUUAAUUAAAAGAAAAAUGUUGUGUAAAUAUUCUGAUUAUAUAUUUCUUUUAAAGUAUGGUUUUGGUCUUUAAGAAUCUCAGCCAUCACUCAGCAUGUCAGAUGUGUUUGAUAUUCUCAUAUUUUGUAUUUUAUUUUAGAAUCAUUAAUGUCAAAUAAAAUUACUCUUACAUU
Sander lucioperca (pikeperch) is the source of this 951-nucleotide long non-coding RNA. RefSeq lists it as uncharacterized. The transcript has 4 exons. The record is from RefSeq and is a predicted model, not a curated record. Lineage: Eukaryota; Metazoa; Chordata; Actinopteri; Perciformes; Percidae.